This is a long non-coding RNA of Mustela erminea (ermine), 408 nucleotides long. RefSeq lists it as uncharacterized. The record is from RefSeq and is a predicted model, not a curated record. NCBI's taxonomy places the organism in Eukaryota, Metazoa, Chordata, Mammalia, Carnivora, Mustelidae. The transcript has 4 exons.
GCGCGGGGGACGAGGAGGAACCAGCCUGAGAGGCUUCCUCACGCCAACAUUUUACCGGUAUUGAAUAUGUGAAAGUUCUAUAGCUAUCUAUCUUCAGUUUAGUAUGUAAUCAGAGCUGUUGAUACUUCUGGAUGUGGUAAUUGGAUGGGGCAUGGCUGAUGGUGAGAGAUAAGAGUUUUGGUUCCCCAUUCCAAGCAGUGCUCUAAUCUCACACAAAUAAAAUAGACACAGAGGCUCCUCUCUUCUAAAACCCAUGAUCCAAUGGAGGUUCCAGCAAAUAGACAAUUUCAACAAGAAUGGAUACCAGCUUUUUAUGGUGCCUGGCAGCAUGGUGUAUUGGGAAGAAUAUGGACUUUGGAUUCAGACAGUACUCAAAUCAGACCCAUUUUCUGCAAAAAUAAAAAUGCA